AGGGUUCGAUUCUGGCUCAGGAUGAACGCUAGCUACAGGCUUAACACAUGCAAGUCGAGGGGUAACAGGAGGAAAGCUGCUUUCUUGCUGACGACCGGCGCACGGGUGAGUAACGCGUAUCUAACCUUCCCCUUAGUAGAGGAUAGCCCGGCGAAAGUCGGAUUAAUACUCUAUGUUCUUCCUGGAUGGCAUCUGAUGGGAAGCAAAGGUUUACCGCGUAAGGGAUGGGGAUGCGUCUGAUUAGCUUGUCGGCGGGGUAACGGCCCACCGAGGCAACGAUCAGUAGGGGUUCUGAGAGGAACGGUCCCCCACAUUGGUACUGAGACACGGACCAAACUCCUACGGGAGGCAGCAGUGAGGAAUAUUGGUCAGUGGACGGAAGUCUGAACCAGCCAAGUAAGCGUGCAGGAUGACCGGCCCUAGUGGGUUAGUAAACUGUCUUUUAUAGUAGGGAAUAAAGUCGGGGACGUGUCCCCGUUUGUAGGUACUAUAUGAAUAAGGACCGGCUAAUUCCGUGCCAGCCGCCGC
RNAcentral lists this ribosomal RNA (528 nucleotides) under uncultured bacterium. Its description in RNAcentral is "bacterial SSU rRNA". It matches the Rfam family "Bacterial small subunit ribosomal RNA", at positions 8 to 518 of the family's 1533-position model. The record is from RNAcentral.